UCUCAGGGCUUUGUGCAGCUGCCUCAUGCACAGAGGGAACGACUUGCCAGAGAGCUAAUAGAGGAAGAAAAGGAGGAAUGAAAGGAGAUCCUGGCAGACAUUCUUGCUGGAUAUCCAAUAUUUGCUGACUGGACCACUUUAUCUGCACCAACUUUCACAGGAGUGAGAUUUAACAGCAGUUUGAUGGAUUUGCUGUGCUCAGCUUGAGUAGCUCCUGAUGCUUGAUGACAUCCAAAUGAUUUACAAUCACCAUGACAAUAGUUUAUUAUCUUUACCUGGAAUAUUCAUUUAAUGUCAUGAGCAAUCCGUAAGUAAAGCGGGAAAUCAUUGAGGUCACCUGUAUUACAAUAGCGAAGGUGAGUCACUUUACACCACACUCAUGUAAAGGAGGAAAUGCGGUUCUCUGCUUUAUGUGGUUUACAUUGUGAUUUUUAUGAUGCAUAGAAACUGCAGUAAAGAGUGAUCAUUUGGAAGAGGAAGCAAUAAAAUUAAUGCCCAAGGCAGGAGACAGCAAUUGUUUAGGAAUUUCCCAUUAGCCUUAUAAGAGAUAACAUUUUAACCCAUAUUAUUACAAAUAUGAAAUGAAGGAAAAUUUUUCAUGAUACUAGGAAGUGUGUUAUGGAUGGUUAGAAAAGACAUGACACAGCAAGCCAUAACAUUAACUGUACUUAGUGAUGCACUGCUUUUAAAGGCUAUAUACAGUAUUUUAUUAUUUUUGUGCAAAUGACUUUAUUUAAAUAACCGAAAUUUUGACAAUCUGACAAUGUGAAUCGUGAAAUGUUUAAAUAUUAUUAAUUGUUUAGUGAAGUGAGAAGUAUUAGAAAUGACUUUAUGUUUUUAGAACAAUCUAGAUUAAAUGUAAUUGUAAAAUCUUUAUCACUCGAAUUAGACACUUUGGCCAGACCAUACACAGAUGUUUAUGUUUUAAAAUAAAUAUUAGCAUUGCCUGUGAGUCUUUUAUCUAUAGGCUUAACACAUUUACUGUCCAAAUGUAUCAUUAGGAUGAGAGAGUGAGUAGUUAAGUUCCACAAAGAUUUUAGUUUCCUUGUUUAAUCCUUAGUCUCUAUUAUUUUGUUUAGGCAGGGACAAUACUGAUUCAAUUCAACGUGCUCAAAAACUUCAAAAACUGGCUGUGUACGUGCUAAAUACAUACUCCUGUGUGGUUUGUCAUUUACACUGAGAUGAAAUACAGUGUCCAAAAAUGAUCAUUGUGACUUAAACCAAAGAUAUGAAUGUAUGGAUGUAAACCACUGAGGUGUAGAAAUAUGUUGUCCUAUUUACAGAGACACACAUUACGUUUUUUUUCUGAAUAACAACUUUUGAAAGUUUUCUCAUGGCAGCAUUUGGAUUAUCACCAGGAUGUUUUUGCGCAUCGUUGA
This is a long non-coding RNA of Pangasianodon hypophthalmus (striped catfish), 1379 nucleotides long. RefSeq lists it as uncharacterized. The record is from RefSeq and is a predicted model, not a curated record. The transcript has 3 exons. NCBI's taxonomy places the organism in Eukaryota, Metazoa, Chordata, Actinopteri, Siluriformes, Pangasiidae.